Molecule: ribosomal RNA, 468 nt
Filed under: uncultured bacterium
Lineage: Bacteria
Description: partial 16S ribosomal RNA
Rfam family: Bacterial small subunit ribosomal RNA
Source: RNAcentral
GACGAACGCUGGCGGCGUGCUUAACACAUGCAAGUCGAACGGAAAGGCCCUGCUUUUGUGGGUUUCUCGAUUGGCGAACGGGUGAGUAACACGUGAGUAACCUGCCCUUGACUUUGUGAUAACUUCAGGAAACUGGGGCGAAUACCGGAUAGGAGCUCCUGCUGCAUGUUGGGGGUUGGAAAGUUUCGGCGGUUGGGUAUGGACUCGCGGCUUAUCAGCUUGUUUGUGUGGUAGUGGCUUACCAAGGGUUUGACGGCUAGCCUGCCUGAGAGGGUAACCGGGCACAUUAGGACUGAGAUACGGACCAGACUCCUACGGGAGGCAGAAGUGGGGAAUAUUGCACAAUGGGCGGACGCCUGAUGCGGCAGUGCCGCGUGCGGGAAGACGGCCUUCGGGUUGUAAACAGCUUUCGAAUGUGACGAAGAGUGCGUGACGGUAAUGGGUAAAGAAGCACCGGCUAACUACGUG